Molecule: ribosomal RNA, 434 nt
Filed under: uncultured bacterium
Lineage: Bacteria
Description: partial 16S ribosomal RNA
Rfam family: Bacterial small subunit ribosomal RNA
Source: RNAcentral
AGCGAACGCUGGCGGCAGGCCUAACACAUGCAAGUCGAACGAACCUUUCGGGGUUAGUGGCGGACGGGUGAGUAACACGUGGGAACGUGCCUUUAGGUUCGGAAUAACUCAGGGAAACUUGUGCUAAUACCGAAUGUGCCCUUCGGGGGAAAGAUUAAUCGCCUUUAGAGCGGCCCGCGUCUGAUUAGCUAGUUGGUUGAGGUAAUGGCUCACCAAGGCGACGAUCAGUAGCUGGUCUGAGAGGAUGAUCAGCCACAUUGGGACUGAGACACGGCCCAAACUCCUGCGGGAGGCAGCGGUGGGGAAUCUUGCGCAAUGGGCGAAAGCCUGACGCAGCCAUGCCGCGUGAAUGAUGAAGGUCUUAGGAUUGUAAAAUUCUUUCACCGGGGACGAUAAUGACGGUACCCGGAGAAGAAGCCCCGGCUAACUUCGUG